RNAcentral lists this ribosomal RNA (464 nucleotides) under Streptococcus thermophilus. Its description in RNAcentral is "bacterial SSU rRNA". It matches the Rfam family "Bacterial small subunit ribosomal RNA", at positions 339 to 795 of the family's 1533-position model. Lineage: Bacteria; Bacillati; Bacillota; Bacilli; Lactobacillales; Streptococcaceae. The record is from RNAcentral.
CUACGGGGAGGCAGCAGUAGGGAAUCUUCGGCAAUGGGGGCAACCCUGACCGAGCAACGCCGCGUGAGUGAAGAAGGUUUUCGGAUCGUAAAGCUCUGUUGUAAGUCAAGAACGGGUGUGAGAGUGGAAAGUUCACACUGUGACGGUGCUUACCAGAAAGGGACGGCUAACUACGUGCCAGCAGCCGCGGUAAUACGUAGGUCCCGAGCGUUGUCCGGAUUUAUUGGGCGUAAAGCGAGCGCAGGCGGUUUGAUAAGUCUGAAGUUAAAGGCUGUGGCUCAACCAUAGUUCGCUUUGGAAACUGUCAAACUUGAGUGCAGAAGGGGAGAGUGGAAUUCCAUGUGUAGCGGUGAAAUGCGUAGAUAUAUGGAGGAACACCGGUGGCGAAAGCGGCUCUCUGGUCUGUAACUGACGCUGAGGCUCGAAAGCGUGGGGAGCGAACAGGAUUAGAUACCCUGGUAGUC